UUGUAUGAAAUUUAUUAAUUCAUUGAGACUGAUUCUCAAUAUCUGAUACUGGUUGGAGGGAUAGUUGAAUGCUGAAGUUGAAGCAAUGAAACAAUGAAACAUCAUUCAUCAGUAGGUAAGAAAUAAGAUCAUGGUAAUUUGUCAUAAAAUCACUAAUUACCUUCAACUUAAUAAAAUUAUGAUGUAUAUAACCCUCAUGUGGGGAAGAGAUCCAUUCUUAUGCACAAAUAUUUAUGUUUACACCAAAACUGGUUGCAAUACAGUUGCUUGUGUGAUUGAUGAAUUUUUGCAGUAAAAGCCAUUAACAGAGCUAUGUGAUGCUUCCCAAAGCUCCAAUUUUCUGGCUCAUCGUUAAGUAGUACAUUACAAUUAUUGUGGUAAUCAGUUUUAAUUGCUAUGGAAAUCGGGUUUGUAAUUGUAUUAGACUAGCUUGCACUUGCAAAAUAGGCAUAACAGCAGCUGAGUAAAAUCCAAAUUAGAAAAUUUUAUGGUGUAAAUAGACCUUGUGUUGUGGGAGAUUAGCCCAAAUGCAUAUAACUUGCAAUUACACAAACUUCCUUUUAGAAAACUUUAUGAUUUGUUUUCUUGAUGUAUUCUUGCGGACGAAUCACAUAUACCAAGCUAAGUCGGAGUAUUGUUUAUUUCUCAAGAUCAAACAUUAGAUCAUCUCUGUCUGGACUAUCCUAUAUUCUGCUGGAUUUUGUUUUAGAAGGUGCCUCUCGACUGGUCUUUAACCGGCCCGGAACAUAUUGGUUUGCAGGUGAUUUCAGUGUCUGGUCCACCAUCAAGAUAUGCUGAGAAGUGGCUAGAAGAUCAGCAUUAUUCAUCUUUUUGCCAGGUUAAAUGUACUUGAAUAUUCACUUCCAUGUUAGUGAAUCAAAUGUGACUUUAUUCUCUUUUUUUCUUUUUUGUAUCAUAGGUUAUAUGCGUCUGACAUUUAUAGCAGUUCUCCAGUUUUUCAAUAUUUGAGGUUUAUUUGAUUCCUUCUUUAGACAAGUAGGAAAAUCUAUGCAAUAUCAAAGGGUGCUCAAAAUUAAUAGUUUAAUUACUUAACAUGUCCAAGCACAUUGUAUUGCGGAGGUAGUGUAAGAAACACAUACACUUCUAAAAAAGUAUGUGUCUAUGUUGGAGAAUGACACUUGGACAUGCUUUAUGCCAAUGACACUCCUCAUGCUCUAAGCCUCCUACACAUUUCAGACAUGCCCCGAUAUGUGUUGGACAUGCAUUCAAACAUGUUCUAUUAUUUGAAAAAAAAAAAAGAA
Non-coding RNA from Camellia sinensis, 1262 nucleotides. The record is from RefSeq and is a predicted model, not a curated record. Lineage: Eukaryota; Viridiplantae; Streptophyta; Magnoliopsida; Ericales; Theaceae.